Aphis gossypii (cotton aphid) is the source of this 335-nucleotide long non-coding RNA. RefSeq lists it as uncharacterized. NCBI's taxonomy places the organism in Eukaryota, Metazoa, Arthropoda, Insecta, Hemiptera, Aphididae. The transcript has 2 exons. The record is from RefSeq and is a predicted model, not a curated record.
CAAAUAUCAAUACAUUUAACAUUCUAUAAAUUUAAAUUUCCGUCAGGGGCACAGGGCCAAGGUCCUAACAGCUAAGGAAACGUCCUACAAAUACCUGCUGUCAAGUGUCAAGCUAAAGCAGUGAAGAUGGCCCAUUGACGUUGAGUCUAAGUAUUUUCGAAUUUUCAAUAAUCUUUUGUUUUUUCAAAUUAUAAAUUAUAUACACCAGACACCUUAAAUUUUCAUACUAUUUUCUUAACCUUUAAAUAGGGCUUUCAAAAUCCAAAAUACUUCUCCAUUCCUCUGAUAUUUUAUCUUUCACUAAAAUCUGACUAAAUAAAAAUUUUAACUUUACA